Molecule: ribosomal RNA, 434 nt
Filed under: uncultured Lachnospiraceae bacterium
Lineage: Bacteria; Bacillati; Bacillota; Clostridia; Lachnospirales; Lachnospiraceae
Description: partial 16S ribosomal RNA
Rfam family: Bacterial small subunit ribosomal RNA
Source: RNAcentral
ACGGGAGGCAGCAGUGGGGAAUAUUGCACAAUGGGGGAAACCCUGAUGCAGCAACGCCGCGUGAGUGAUGAAGUAUUUCGGUAUGUAAAGCUCUAUCAGCAGGGAAGAUAAUGACGGUACCUGACUAAGAAGCUCCGGCUAAAUACGUGCCAGCAGCCGCGGUAAUACGUAUGGAGCAAGCGUUAUCCGGAUUUACUGGGUGUAAAGGGUGCGUAGGUGGCACCGCAAGUCAGAUGUGAAAUACCGGGGCUCAACCCCGGGGCUGCAUUUGAAACUGCGGAGCUGGAGUGCAGGAGGGGCAGGCGGAAUUCCUAGUGUAGCGGUGAAAUGCGUAGAUAUUAGGAGGAACACCGGUGGCGAAGGCGGCCUGCUGGACUGAUACUGACACUGAGGCACGAAAGCGUGGGGAGCAAACAGGAUUAGAUACCCUGGUA